GCUUUUGAUGGGCGUCGACCGGCGCACGGGUGAGUAACGCGUAUCCAACCUGCCCACCACUUGGGGAUAACCUUGCGAAAGUAAGACUAAUACCCAAUGACGUCUCUAGAAGACAUCUGAAAGGGAUUAAAGAUUUAUCGGUGAUGGAUGGGGAUGCGUCUGAUUAGCUUGUUGGCGGGGUAACGGCCCACCAAGGCGACGAUCAGUAGGGGUUCUGAGAGGAAGGUCCCCCACAUUGGAACUGAGACACGGUCCAAACUCCUACGGGAGGCAGCAGUGAGGAAUAUUGGUCAAUGGACGAGAGUCUGAACCAGCCAAGUAGCGUGCAGGAAGACGGCCCUAUGGGUUGUAAACUGCUUUUAUAAGGGAAUAAAGUGAGUCUCGUGAGACUUUUUGCAUGUACCUUAUGAAUAAGGACCGGCUAAUUCCGUGCCAGCAGCCGCGGUAAUACGGAAGGUCCGGGCGUUAUCCGGAUUUAUUGGGUUUAAAGGGAGCGUAGGCCGGAGAUUAAGCGUGUUGUGAAAUGUAGACGCUCAACGUCUGCACUGCAGCGCGAACUGGUUUCCUUGAGUACGCACAAAGUGGGCGGAAUUCGUGGUGUAGCGGUGAAAUGCUUAGAUAUCACGAAGAACUCCGAU
Molecule: ribosomal RNA, 638 nt
Filed under: uncultured bacterium
Lineage: Bacteria
Description: bacterial SSU rRNA
Rfam family: Bacterial small subunit ribosomal RNA
Source: RNAcentral